GAGUUUGAUCNUGGCUCAGGACGAACGCUGGCGGCGUGCCUAAUACAUGCAAGUCGAGCGGACAGAUGGGAGCUUGCUCCCUGAUGUUAGCGGCGGACGGGUGAGUAACACGUGGGUAACCUGCCUGUAAGACUGGGAUAACUCCGGGAAACCGGGGCUAAUACCGGAUGGUUGUNUGAACCGCAUGGUUCAGACAUAAAAGGUGGCUUCGGCUACCACUUACAGAUGGACCCGCGGCGCAUUAGCUAGUUGGUGAGGUAACGGCUCACCAAGGCNACGAUGCGUAGCCGACCUGAGAGGGUGAUCGGCCACACUGGGACUGAGACACGGCCCAGACUCCUACGGGAGGCAGCAGUAGGGAAUCUUCCGCAAUGGACGAAAGUCUGACGGAGCAACGCCGCGUGAGUGAUGAAGGUUUUCGGAUCGUAAAGCUCUGUUGUUAGGGAAGAACAAGUGCCGUUCAAAUAGGGCGGCACCUUGACGGUACCUAACCAGAAAGCCACGGCUAACUACGUGCCAGCAGCCGCGGUAAUACGUAGGUGGCAAGCGUUGUCCGGAAUUAUUGGGCGUAAAGGGCUCGCAGGCGGUUUCUUAAGUCUGAUGUGAAAGCCCCCGGCUCAACCGGGGAGGGUCAUUGGAAACUGGGGAACUUGAGUGCAGAAGAGGAGAGUGGAAUUCCACGUGUAGCGGUGAAAUGCGUAGAGAUGUGGAGGAACACCAGUGGCGAAGGCGACUCUCUGGUCUGUAACUGACGCUGAGGAGCGAAAGCGUGGGGAGCGAACAGGAUUAGAUACCCUGGUAGUCCACGCCGUAAACGAUGAGUGCUAAGUGUUAGGGGGUUUCCGCCCCUUAGUGCUGCAGCUAACGCAUUAAGCACUCCGCCUGGGGAGUACGGUCGCAAGACUGAAACUCAAAGGAAUUGACGGGGGCCCGCACAAGCGGUGGAGCAUGUGGUUUAAUUCGAAGCAACGCGAAGAACCUUACCAGGUCUUGACAUCCUCUGACAAUCCUAGAGAUAGGACGUCCCCUUCGGGGGCAGAGUGACAGGUGGUGCAUGGUUGUCGUCAGCUCGUGUCGUGAGAUGUUGGGUUAAGUCCCGCAACGAGCGCAACCCUUGAUCUUAGUUGCCAGCAUUCAGUUGGGCACUCUAAGGUGACUGCCGGUGACAAACCGGAGGAAGGUGGGGAUGACGUCAAAUCAUCAUGCCCCUUAUGACCUGGGCUACACACGUGCUACAAUGGACAGAACAAAGGGCAGCGAAACCGCGAGGUUAAGCCAAUCCCACAAAUCUGUUCUCAGUUCGGAUCGCAGUCUGCAACUCGACUGCGUGAAGCUGGAAUCGCUAGUAAUCGCGGAUCAGCAUGCCGCGGUGAAUACGUUCCCCGG
Molecule: ribosomal RNA, 1386 nt
Filed under: Bacillus subtilis
Lineage: Bacteria; Bacillati; Bacillota; Bacilli; Caryophanales; Bacillaceae
Description: bacterial SSU rRNA
Rfam family: Bacterial small subunit ribosomal RNA
Source: RNAcentral